GAGAAGAUAGUUGAGUCUUUGUUGUUCCAUAACGCAAGUGGGAAUAAGAUAGGUGUGAUCGCCUUGGUGGGUAUGGGCGGUAUUGGAAAGACCACCCUUACCCAGCUGGUCUAUAAUGAUAGGAGAGUGGUGGAAUAUUUUGAUCUUAAAGCAUGGGUUUGUGUUUCAGAUGAAUUUGAUCUUGUCAGGAUAACGAAAACCAUUCUUAUGGCAUUCGAUUCUGGGACUUCUGGAAAAUCGCCUGAUGACGAUGAUUUGAAUCUGCUUCAACUUAAAUUGAAGGAGAGACUUAGCAGGAAGAAAUUCUUACUUGUCCUUGACGAUGUUUGGAAUGAAGACUAUAAUAUUUGGGAUUUGCUGCGAACUCCAUUCAGUGUUGGUCUAAAUGGAAGUAAGAUUAUUGUAACCACACGAAUCAAGAAGGUUGCUGCAGUCAUGCAUUCAGCUCCUAUUCAUCCUUUAGGACAGUUAUCCUUUGAAGAUUGUUGGUCCCUAUUUGCAAAACAUGCAUUUGAAAAUGGAGAUUCUAGUUCACAUCCAAAGCUAGAAGAAAUUGGCAAGGAGAUUGUAAAAAAGUGUGAUGGAUUGCCUUUAGCUGCAAAAACCCUUGGAGGUGCCUUAUAUUCAGAGGUUCGAGUAAAAGAAUGGGAAAAUGUAUUGAACAGUGAAAUGUGGGAUUUACCAAAUAAUGCGAUUCUUCCUGCCUUAUUCUUGAGCUACUAUUAUCUUCCUUCACAUCUAAAACGAUGUUUUGCAUAUUGUUCUAUUUUUCCUCAAGACUACCAAUUUGACAAGGAAAACUUGAUUUUACUGUGGAUGGCAGAAGGGUUUUUGCAACAAUCAAAAAAAGGUAAGAAAACAAUGGAAGAGGUAGGUGAUGGGUACUUUUAUGACCUAUUAUCAAGGUCAUUUUUUCAAAAGUUUGGUAGCCACAAAUCAUAUUUUGUAAUGCAUGAUCUCAUUAGCGACUUGGCUCGAUUUGUUUCUGGAAAAGUUUGUGUUCAUUUGAAUGAUGAUAAGAUAAAUGAAAUUCCUGAAAAGCUUCGUCACUUAUCAAAUUUUAGAGGCGGAUAUGACUCCUUUGAGAGAUUUGACACCCUUAGUGAAGUUCAUUGUCUUCGGACCUUCUUGCCAUUGGAUUUGAGGACUCGGCAUCGGUUUGACAAGGUUUCAAAGUCAAGAAAUCCAGUUAAGAGUGGAAGGUAUGGUGGAGUGUUUUACUUGAGUAAUAGAGUUUGGAAUGAUUUAUUAUUGAAAGGUCAAUAUUUACGAGUGUUAUCGUUGUGUUAUUAUGAGAUAACGGAUUUGCCGGAUUCAAUUGGUAAUUUAACACAUUUACGCUAUUUGGACCUUACCUACACACCCAUCAAAAGAUUACCUGAAUCUGUUUGUAAUUUGUAUAAUUUACAGACAUUGAUAUUAUAUUAUUGUGAGCGUCUUGUUGGAUUGCCUGAAAUGAUGUGCAAAAUGAUUAGCUUACGUCAUCUUGAUAUCAGGCAUAGCAGAGUGAAAGAGAUGCCAAGUCAAAUGGGUCAAUUAAAAAUUUUAGAAAAAUUGAGUAACUAUAGAGUAGGCAAGCAAAGCGGGACGAGGGUUGGAGAGUUGAGGGAGCUUUCCCACAUUGGUGGGAGUCUUGUCAUUCAAGAGCUGCAGAAUGUGGUUGAUGCUAAGGAUGCCUCAGAGGCCAAUUUGGUAGGCAAGCAGCGUUUGGAUGAGUUAGAGCUGGAAUGGAAUCGUGAUAGUGAUGUUGAACAAAAUGGAGCAUACAUAGUCCUCAACAACUUACAACCUCAUUCAAAUUUAAGGAGACUCACUAUUCAUAGAUAUGGUGGUUCAAAAUUUCCAGACUGGUUAGGAGGUCCUUCAAUUCUGAAUAUGGUGUCGCUACGUCUCUGGAAUUGUAAGAAUGUGUCAACCUUCCCACCGCUUGGGCAGCUACCCUCCCUUAAACAUUUAUAUAUAUUGGGGUUGGGGGAGAUAGAAAGAGUGGGCGCUGAGUUUUAUGGGACUGAGCCCUCCUUUGUAUCCUUAAAAGCUCUAUCAUUUCAGGAUAUGCCAGUAUGGAAGGAAUGGUUGUGUUUGGGAGGCCAAGGUGGAGAAUUCCCUCGUCUCAAGGAGCUUUAUAUAAAGAAUUGUCCCAAGCUAACUGGGGACUUACCAAACCAUCUGCCUUUAUUGACGAAACUAGAGAUUGAAGAAUGUGAGCAGCUUGUGGCUCCACUUCCAAGGGUUCCAGCCAUCCGUGUAUUGACGACGCGCAGCUGUGACAUCUCACAGUGGAAGGAACUGCCACCACUAUUGCGGAGUCUCUCAAUUACAAAUUCCGACUCUGCGGAGUCUCUACUGGAGGAGGGAAUGUUGCAAAGCAACGCUUGUCUUGAAGAUUUGAGCAUCAUAAACUGUUCUUUUUCCAGACCCCUGUGCAGAAUUUGUUUACCCAUUGAAUUGAAAUCAUUGGCCAUCUAUGAGUGUAAGAAACUAGAGUUUCUCCUACCUGAGUUCUUCAAAUGUCACCACCCUUCCAUUAAACAUUUGGAAAUCUUAGGUGGCACUUGCAAUUCUCUCUCAUUCAAUAUCCCACACGGCAAGUUCCCAAGGUUGGCUAGGAUUCAAAUCUGGGGUCUCGAGGGGCUUGAAUCCCUCUCCAUUUCAAUUUCGGGCGGGGAUCUUACAACUUUUGCUUCGUUGAACAUCGGAAGGUGCCCUAAUCUUGUGUCUAUUGAAUUGCCAGCUCUCAACAUCUCACGAUAUUCAAUCUUCAAUUGCGAGAAUCUCAAGUCGCUGCUGCACAACGCUGCAUGCUUUCAAUCAUUAGUGUUAGAAGAUUGUCCGGAAUUGAUAUUCCCAAUACAGGGUCUUCCCUCCAACCUAACUUCACUAUUUAUUAGAAACUGCGACAAACUCACAUCCCAGGUGGAGUGGGGUCUGCAAGGACUGCCCUCUCUUACCUCUCUCACAAUCUCAGGUCUUCCAAAUCUCAUGUCCCUGGACGGUAUGGGGCUUCAACUGCUCACCUCUCUUCGAAAAUUACAGAUCUGUGACGGCCCCAAGCUCCAAUCUUUGACAGAAGAGCGGCUACCCAGCUCCCUUUCUUUUCUAACAAUCCGCGACUGUCCAUUGCUGAAAGAUCGGUGCAAGUUUUGGACAGGGGAAGAUUGGCAUCUUAUAGCUCACAUUCCACACAUUGUGAUCGAUGACCAAGUUUUGUAAUGAAGGUGGUAUUACACCAAUUUAUAGUCAGUUACUUAUUCUGUCCUCAAAGUAAUUUUCUCAGGAAAACUGACAUGUUAAAUACCAAUUUAAUUUCACCAGCUAUUAGGUUAUAAUAUUCUUAUUUCUAAACUAAAUAGAGGGUAUGAAUAGGAAAAAUAUGCUUUAAAUUUUCUAAUGAUUAUAAUAAUUUCUUGUUUUCUUUCAGGUUAUCCAUAAUUCUUCACUCUGCCACUGAUGCAACAUAUCUUCAUCAGGAAUCUUUUCAGACUCCUUUGCUUAAUUAGCGCCUUGCCGAAUGCUUUAGAUUUCAUCUAGAGUAAAUUGAUGAUUAAAAGCCAAGAAACUCUGCAGGUCUGAUUUAGUAACUUGUGUUUCUUGUAUAAUAUCAUGGACCUUGAGUUCAUUUCCAUUGGCUAAUUCACUGAAAUCUCAUGGCAGGCCUUUAGUUCUAGUUUUCUCAAAAAACUGGAGCUGUCUAGCAAUGAUUUUUCCAAUGGGACCACUUUUUGUUGAGUUCAGAGUAAAGACUCUCUUUCUAGAAGUAGCCGAGAUUUUUUGCAUCCAAACUACAGAAAGCUCGAUUCUGUUGAGAGUGGGGUAUGCUCUAUAAUUCCAAUUAAUAAUCCUUUAGGCAUUAUUUUUUAGGUUCUCUGAGGCUGCAUCUGUUGUAAUAUCUCAGUUCUUCUCUAAAGGCAACAACUAUGUUUCUUUUGGUUCGUACUUUCCAUAAACUGACACCUUGUGGAGUUCCAUCAUUUUCAAAACAAGAUAAACCUAAUACUAAAUUCUACUGAAGCUAAAACAAAAAUCUUACUGCCUGAGGUUAUAUCUUUUGAUGAAUUUUAUUCACUAUGUUCAUAUGGCAUCCGAGUGACCUGGAUGUCAACAUUUUCCUUGGUGCACAUGUUGUUUUCAUCUCUUUUAGCUUUAAUUAAUCUGCAGAUGUUCGGUUUAGGCACCUCACCUCCUAGUCACGCUCAUCUGAUUCUCAUUUACAUGAUUGUAAACUAAUAGUAAAUGAUAAUAUGAGCUCUGAUUUUCAUUUUUUAAAUUUGUAAUUCUGAAGCAGAUACUUGGAGAAGAGAGAAGGCAAACCAUAUUCAAUGUCAUAGCACUGCAGAGUAUGGUUUUGUUCCUCCCAAGUUCAGGUCAGUUGAGUUGAAUCUUAUUAAUACUUGAAGGAUGCAUGAUCAAAUAGUGUCAUAGCACUAUUUGUUAUAUUGGCUUUGUGCUAAGAAAUUGUGAACUAAUUGGAUCUACUCAUACCACCUCCCUCCAUAGAGGAAUUUUAAUAACUAAAUUCUAUUGAUUUGAGCAUGAUUUGAGCUUUUGUUCUCUCCUCAGUUUAUAGUUCAUAGUUUUGCAAUAAAAUUUUUAAAAGUCUAAAAAUUAUCUAUAACCCCACAUGAAUUUCACUGUCAAAUUCUUCUGAGUAACAUGUGACUAUUUUUAUUUUCAGAUGGUGGCAUUUUGAAUCUUUGGAGCAGUUCCCGGAGGAAGCUUUGCCAAAGCCUCCCUAUGCAAUAUAUGGGCCUUUGGUUGCAAGUGAGAUUUGAGGAUUUUAUUUUAUCUUGGAAGACUUCAACUCAUUUUUGUGAGUUUUGUGCUUUGAGUUUUACUUCCAAGUAUGUGCAAAGAAGAAAGGAACGACAAAGAUGGAUUCACUGGAGUUUUAUAUGGAGUAAGACUCCCAUGAAAAAUAUUGUAGCAAUUGGUUUGUCAGCCUUGAAGGUUGUAGUUUUAUUUCCCAUUUUGUUCUUUGAGGAAUGUGUUUGUUGAAUCAUAUAUUUUGAACUUACUGAUUUUGUGUAUAUUCAUUUACAUGUAAAUGAUAUUUUAAUCUUCAUUCAUAUAGAAUUUGCUUCUGUUUUAUAUGCUGAAAGGUUACAAGUUUGCUCUAGGGUUUCACUUCAAAGCCGCUAGAUGAACAAUACAAGGUCAAAUAUUACUUCCAUUGGAAUUUCCAUAUUGUCCUGAUUCAUCAUGUAUCCAGCUAUAGGAAUAAUUCAAGUGAGGUUAGAUAUGCCCUUUUUCUAAGUUUUUAUAUCAUAUAUUUGAAUGAAAUUCAAUUUAUCUAGAUGCUUUUCACAAGGGUUCCUUGACAUUUCAGCAUUUGGAUGGGAAGACUUGGAAUCAUUCCCAAAGGAAUGCUUGAUGCCCUGCACCCUUACCUCUCACCAAAUCUCAGGUCUUAACUGCUCACCUCUAUUUAAAAAAUUACAGAUCUCUGACUGCACAACUCCCUCUCUUUUCUAACAAUCAGGAACUGUCCAUUGCUGAAGCAUUGGUGCCAAUUUUGACAAAGGGAAGAUCAGCAUCAUAUAGCUCAUAUUCCACACAUUGUGGUGGACAACCAAGUUCUGUAAUGAAGGUGCUUGCUCUGUCCUGUAAAAAAUUUUCUUAAGGAAAAAAAAAAAAAGUUAUGCUUAAAUACCAAUUUUUAUUUUCUUUCUGAUUUGUACAUCCUUAAUCACUCUGGUUUUGCUUCCACAUAUCCUCAUAUCUAAUCUUCUAAAUUUCCCUUGCUCAGUUGGUGCCUAUGUUGAAUCUUUCACGCAUCUGCCUAUGAUCAAUUGAUGUUUAUAAAGCUGGUGCACCAAGCAGCUCUCUGUGUAUGAUUUCUUGACCUGUAUUUUUUUUUUCUUUUGUAUUUUUUGUUGUCACUUCCAAGGGUUGGGACUUUGUCUGGAAAUAGGUACCAGAGACACUUUCUUGGUACUUGGCAGUUGAAGGGAUCAACACUAAUGUGUGGCCAAUUAAAUCCUUUUUACCACCUUUUGCAUCCAAAGGCACAUAAGAUCUUGGCACUCUGCUCAAGGGUCCGCAAAAGUAUAAUUUAGAUUAAAUUCAUAUUAAGACAGGUACAUGCUGUAUGCUCAAAAUGAUUUUCUUUCAAAAAUGUUCAGUUACCAAUUCAUUGAGGAGCCAAAGUUGUACUUCAAAAUUUCUAAUUAUUUAAUUUUUAAAUUUCUGAGGUUAAUAUUGGACACUUCCUGUAAGACUGGAAGCAGCUUUCCAGGUAUAAGAAGAGACUUGUCUUCUUGAUAUAUAUUUAUGAGCCUCAAUCUUUUCUGUGGGCUGAUCUAUUGAUAUUCAUUGCAGGCUUUCAAUUAUGAUUUUCUCUCUAAAUACAAGACAUUUGGCCAUGAUCUCCCCAGUGAAACAAUAUUUGAUGACUCUCCCCUGUGGAACACAUAUUUGUAACUAUUCUAAGAUCUUUGAAUUAUGUUCAACUAUAUUCAAGAAUCAUACAUCUACAAAAGUUAUUUGCUGGCCUUGUUAUUGGAGAUUGAAGUGUGCAGGACACUCUGUUUGUCUGAUAUAGAGUUUUUUUUUUUUAAAGCCAGUAGUCUCGAGCAAGGAUAUGAAGAGGAGUAAACGGAGAUUGACGACAGGUAACAUAUUCUUUAUGCACACUUAUUCAAUAAGAAUUGUAAUUUCACAUCUACGUAUUGUAAGAUUUAUAACUUCAUAAGCAUUAUAUGCUGAAUCUAACGCAAGUAUCCUAAGCUUUCAGCUCUGAGUUUCUCAACAUUACUUGAGGCUUUUGAUAACUAUCUAACCAUUUCAGCUCUCUUAAUGAAUCGUUCAUAAAAUGCCUUCUUCCUUUGAUUUUAGAUUUUUUACUUGAGUCCAGAGGGGUAUAAUUUUACCUGCUGAUGUCCUUACAAUGCUUUAAAAUAGAGAUUUAAUUUUCUAACCCCUAAAUUGCAACUAUUUUGAUCAUGUAAUACAUCGGUUUGCAGGUCAUAUGAAAAUCAGUAUCUGCAACAAUAACUUAUUUUUUCCAAAAACCAAUGGGUAUGUAUUACUUGAAGCAUCACUUGCCAAUACUUCUAAUCAAAUAUGUUUGAAAUUUUAUCCACACAAUCAUGAAUUCUUGGACUGACUAUUUAUUGUUAUGUAACAUAUUUUGAAUAAUGUGGAUACUCAAACUAAAAUCUUCAUAUUCUGAUUUGCUUAUGCUCAUCUUAUUCUCCUUUACAUUGUCUUCAUCAACAUCAGGACUUUAAUAUUCCAGCUUUCUUGUACUAUCAAAUGAUUAAUAUGUUCAGAAUCUUUUGUUGAUUCAAUUUGUGAUUCUGGGCCAGAGACUUUUAGAAGAGAGAAGGCGAAGCAUAUUCAAAGUGACAGCACUGCAGAUUGGCUUUGUCCGCCCAAGUUCAGGUCAAUAGAGUGACAUCUUAUUGAUACUAGUGUUGAUUUUCCAAACUUGAUAUAUUAGCAUCAACAGCUUCUGCAAUACCUUAAGGAAUUGUGAAUUAAUUGGAUCAACUCAUACCACCACCCACCAUAUAUAAAUUUUAACAACUACAAAUAUUUAGAGGAUGGUAGCAUAUUUUAAUGGUUUUGGUCCUAAAAGAAAAUAUAGGUUGAAUAUGUUCUAAAUUUAAUUUAAAGUUAGAUGGUUUAACUAUCAAAUUCCGUCGAUUAUCAUGUGGCAAAUUUUAUCUUCAGAUUACCACUUUGGAUCUUUGGAGCAGUUCCAGAAGGAAGAUUUGUCAUUGCCUGCCUUAAGUUGCAUUCUAAAAGGUCCAUGUGGAGUGAGCUUUUAGUCCCAAGUAUGCGACAAGCAAGAUAUAACAUGGAGGGACUUGCAGAUCUGAUUUUAAAGCAUGAAGAUGCAUAGUUGUUUCUUUGAAAAUAAGAAAACAAUGCCAAAAUCUUGAUUAAGUUUUAUGUGGAGUGGGACUAUUAAUUUGACCUUUAAGAUUUCAGUCUAGUAUCUUAUCUUGUUCUUUGAGAAAUCAAUGUGCUAUUGUCUUGAAGCAGUUGUUUUGAAUUCCCUUGUUGAACUUGUAUUUUGACUUGGAAUGAUGUCUUUGUAUUGAGUUUUUCAUCCAUCUUGAAUUUUCUUCUUUGCUAGAUGCAGAAAAGUAACAAGUUUGGUCAAAUAUUACUUCAAAUGGAAUUUUCAUGUUAUGCUAGUUCAUCAAAGAUCAUAUGCUAUUUUUCCGUUAUUUAUAUUCGGAUCGAUUAUUGAACCGGAAAAGUGAUAGAUUUGUAGUUCGAUGGUCGGAUCAGUGGUUGAACUACAGUUGACUUGUGAAAUCAUAAAUAUAUGAUUUAUGUAUUAUUAAAAUUAAAAAUAAUUAUUAAAAAAAAUAAAAAAUGAUAAAUUCUAUUGAAAUUUUUGACAACAUUCUUGUCUUUGUCGAGUUAUUUCAUGGAAGUUUUUACCCAUAAAAUCUUCUUAUGUUCUAUUUCAUAGCACAAUAUAUGAUGUUAUACCUUCAUCGAUAUAAAUCAACAUAUUGACCAAAAUAUUUAUAUAUGACAUCUACAUAUAAGUAUUAAUGAUCAAUUUCUCAAUAAGUUUUUAACAUAUCAUCCGUGAUAUAAUCGCCCAUCACAACAUAAAUAGUUGCUUAAAAUAUAACAUGUCACUGUUUAAUUGAUUCAUAAGCAAUUAUUUGCAUCAAUUUUAAACUUUAUUUUUAGUUUUAACUUCAAUUUCAAUUUAAAACUUUUUCUUUAAUUUUGAUUUUAAUUCUAAUCUAUGUCUUAAUUUUAAUUCCCAUUAUAAUAUUAAUAUUAAUAUUAAUUUUUUGUUUUCAUAAUAAUAAUAAUAAUAAUAAUAAGUUUAAUUUUGUGUUUAAUAAUAAUAAUAAUAAUAAUGGGUCCUAUUUUUUUUUAAGUAUAUUUGAUAAUAUAAAUUUUAAACCACUUAAAAUUAAAAGCACUUAAAAUCCACUUAUUUCAUUUAGCAAUAGAGAUCUAACUAAUUAUUUAUAACACAACAUGUUCGAUGACUUUUAAAUUUUUAUAACUUUUUUAUUCCAUCCUAACCAUUUUUUUUAUAAAAUAAUGAUUUUUAUUAUUGAAUUAUUUUUAUUAUAAAAUUUCACUUCCUCUAAAUUAAAACGCUUUCUUUUGAAUUAAAAUAUUUCAUUACUAAUUCCUUAAUACAAUAAAAUUAAUUUCUAAAAAAAUUAUUUUAUACAAGUUCUUUUAAAAUAGAAUAUUUUGUUUUUAUUGAUUUUUAAUAAUUUAAUACAAUAAAUUAGAAUUCUAAACAACCUCUAUUUAAUCAAUUUAUAAGAAUUACUCUCUCACGUCUUUUAUUUUAAGUUUUCCUAUCAAUAUGUAUAUAUCAUAAUAAUUUAUUUAUUUAUUUUUAAUUCCUUAAUAUGAUAAAAUUAAAAUUAUAAUAAAUUCUAUUUAAUUGAUUUAUAAGAAUAACAAUUAUAAAAAAUUUCUUGGUUUGUAUAAUUAUAGAGAAAAGAAAAAAAGAAAAAGAAACAAUUUAAAAGGUAGAAUGUAUGAACUUUUUAUGUGUUGUAAAAUAAAAGAAUAAUGAUAAGAAAAUACGAGAGAAUAAACAAAGACAUUCAAAGAAAAGUAGAAUAGAAUGUAGGAAAAGAACGAGAUGAAUUUUCAUUAGAGGUAUCUCCCUUUUAUAGGGAGUUACAAACGGAUAUAUAUCAAUAUGGAUGAUCAUUCAGAAAUUUUCAUAAUCCGAUAAAUUCUUAUAUUUUAUAACACUCCCCCUUGAAUGAUUAUAAGAAUAUGCCUUAUCAAAACCUUAUUGGGAAAAACCCUAGUGAAGGAAAAAAAAGUACAAUAUUCUUUUGGAUUACUACGACUGCCUCAUUAAAAACCUUACCAGUAAAACCCAAUGAGACAAAACCUGGACGAAGGAAAAAAGAGUGUAGCGUAGUGAUAUUCUUAUCAAUUAGCUCUCCCUCAUGUUGACAUGAUUAUGUUUUCUUUAGUAGUACAACAUGGAGAUCUUUGAGUCGGUGUAUUCCAAUGAGCUUCUUGAGUAUUGCAGUUGACAAUACCUUUGUGAAUAGAUCUACUAAAUUGUCACUUGAUCUUAUUCAUCGAAUAACAAUUUCAUCACUCUUCUGGAGUUAAUGAAAGUAAAAGGCUUGAGCAAUAUAUGCUUAAUUCUAUCACCCUUGAUGUAUCAUACUUUAAUAAGUGCAAUACAUGUAACAUUAUUAACUUGGUAGCAUUACCUCUAAUGGAUGGUAGUCCACAUUUUUCCAUUAUUUGCUUGAUUGAUCUCCACAAUAUUGUCGUACCACCAUAGAUAAAUACAUAUUUCAUUUGAGAUCGAGCAUUGUGGGGGUUUGAAAGAUAGUCAACAUCUACCUUGAAGAUAACAUAAACCCAUAUUAUUGUAUUACAUGAUUGAUUUUAUUCCAAUGUCUUUAAGGUGGUGUAGAACUAUAUUUCACAAGUAAAUUAACAAGGAAUGCAAUAUCUGGUUGUGUAUAAUUUGCAAGAUUCAUCGGUACACCAAUAACAUUGUAAUAUGGUACUUCUAGACCAAGUAGUUCUUCAUUAUCUUCUUUAGGACAUAAGAGCUUAUUUUUCACUUCAAGUGAAUGAACUAUCAUCAGAGAACUUAAUGAAUGUGAUUUAUCCAUAUGAAGGUGCUUCAAGACUUUCUUUGUAUAUGUUGACUAAUAAACUAAUAUUUCGUUUGAAAAGUACUUGAUCUAUAAGCUGAGGAAAAAUUUUUGUUGUCCAGGAUCUUUUAUUUCAAAUUUACUUUUCAAAUAGUCAACUAUUUUGGUAAGCUCUUUAAGAGUUCCAACAAAAUUCAAUGUUCCACAUAUACUAUAAUAAUUGUAAAUAUUCCACAUAAUGAAUAUGCAUAGACAAAUAAGAUAACACAUACAUACUUUUCACUUCAAAUAUUCAUUGAAGUGAUCAUACCACAAUUCUUUGGAUUGCUUAAUCGAUACAAGGAUCUUUGUAGCUUAAUUGAGUAUAUGUUACAAUGUUUGAAUUAAUUGCUUUAGGCAUUUGAAAUCCUUCAGGGUAUAUAUAUAUAUAUCUAAAGAUCCAUGUAAAUAUGCAGUAACGACAUCCAUGAGACACAAAUCCAGUCAUUCUAAGAUUGUUAAACAAAUUAGAUAUCUAAAUAUGGUUGCGUCCAUCAUAGGAGAAUAUGUUUUCUCGUAGUCAAUACUAGGUUUCUGUGAGAAACCUUGAGCUAUGAGUCAUGUUUCAUAUCUUGUGAUUUCAUUUUUCUCAUUACACUUUCUUAUAAAGUUUCAUUUAUAUCCAACAAGUUUGACAACUUCAGGAGUUUGGACUACAGAUCCAAAUACUUCAUGUUUUUCUAAUGAGUCUAAUUUUUUCGAGAUGUAUUCUUUCCAUUUUGGCCAAUCUUUUCUAUGUUGACAUUCAUUCAUAGUUUCUACUUUGGGAUCCUCAUCAUUUCUUAUGAUGUCAAUAGCUAUUUGGAAAGAAAAUAUAUUGUCAAUGACAAAAGUAUUUCAAUCCCAUUUUUCUCUAUAUAUAAGUAAAUAAUUGAGACUUCAUCAAUAUCAGGUACUUGUACUUUUUCAAGAGCUAAUUGUAAAACAUAUGUCUUUCAUAGGGUUACUCGUUUAAAUUAUGCCUCUUCAGGGGUUGCUUGAGACCGAUAAGUCAUUUUAAUAACUCAUUUUAUAUGCAACUUCUUUAAGAGUGCCACAUUUCAUAUAUCUUUCCUUGUGUUUUCCUCUUCUAGGGAAUGUGUUUGUCUCUUUAGGGUCUGCCAUGUUUCAAGCAUGCCUUAGACUCAUUAUUUAAUUGUCCUUCAGGGACAUCAACUCAUUAUUUAAUCGUCAUUUAGGGACAUCACCGCAUUAUUUAAUUGUCCUUCAAGGACAUCAAUUCGUACUGUAAUAUUCUAGGUUAGUAAAAAUGAUUUUGUCACUUUCUUUGCAUCAAUGAAAACAUUUGGUAGUUGAUUUGAAAUUUUUUACAAAUAAAUAAUCUUUUAAACUUCUAGUUCACAUUGAUUAGUACGCUAAUCAAGAUAAGUCAAAGUCAAUGCAUUCCAAAUAAUUUCAUAUCAUUCUUUUGGAACAGGCUCUUCUCCUCCCAAUGAUGAGAAAAUUGUCUCAUUAAAAUGAUAAUAUACAAAACAUGUCAUUCUACCUUUUAAGUGUAUAGGUAAACUAGUCACUAAAUAAAAACUUCUGGUUUUAUAAUGUACAUCCAUAUGACCUUUUACCUUAGGGGACCAAGUUAGUCUUACUAGAUUCUUCUGCAUUUAACAUCGUAUAAAUCAAAUACUAUUAGUGACAUAAUAUAAGCUCUUUUGGAGCCUUUAAUUAGGUUUCUAUCACCUGAUAUAGUAUUAACAUUGUCUGUCAUCAAUGUUGUGUAAUUAAUAACACAAGAGUUUCAUCAAAAUAACAACUCAUAAAGACCUUGCCUUUAUAGAGUUGAAGAAAUAUUAUCAUAGAGAAAGAGUUAAAUCAAUGAAAAAUAUUAGUCAUCGAUGAUAACUUAACUUAAUAAGUUGUGUAAAAGCAAUGAGAGCAUAUAUAACACAAUAAAACAAAUAUGAAAAAGAUAAUUUAAAGUUAUAUAUUUCUUAAAUAUCUAAACCAUUUUAUUUUGUAAGUGUGAAACAAUUUAUACAUGAAAUAACUAGGAAGUAUUUCAAUAAUCAAACUAAUUGUAGUGAUAGAUCAAUAAUUUUGUUCAAAAUAUUAUUAUGAUGUAAAUCAAUGUGCAAAAAUUAUUUUAUAAAUAAAAAUUUCAAGAGAACAUAUCAUGAUUUAAAACAUCUUGUUGUCUCAAAACUUUAAUUGAAAUACUAUAAAUCCAUCUAAACAUAUAUGUAAAUAUAUAACAUAAUAUAUUGAGAACAAUAGUUGAAUCUAUUUUAAUUUCAAAAUUAAUUUUGGAUAAUGAAAUUAUUGCAUUAAUAAAAAAAGCAUAUGUGGCAACAUGUAAUAAUAUAUUAUUUUAUAUAACUCAAAAAUUUUCAAUCAUAAAAACAUGUUAUAAAGAAAAUUGACAAGUAAAAUCAAUUUAUUAAUCCUAUGACCAAGUCAUAUAUUUCAUAUGUAUCCAAAAAAUCUUAAUUUGUUAAAUCAAAAGAUUAUUGUGUAUUAAACAAUUAGAAUAACAAAAAUAUUUCAAACUAUCAUCUCUAAUACAAAAAUAUCAUACUUUCAUGCAAUCCAAAAUUCCACAUCUAUAUGUAAAUUUUUCUACUAAUAACAAUAUAACUUCUAAUAAUAGAAAUUUAUAAAAACUAUCAAACACUUACCUAUUUGUAUAACUUGAUGUACAAAAUAUUAAUCUUUUGAUAAUAUGUAAAUAUUAUCUAUAUGCUUGUUAUCAUAGCUUCAGACCAUAACAUAUUUCAUUAUAACUUUAGGUUAUAUACAUUUCAUAAAGUUGUACAAAAUUAUUAGUUAACAAUUUUGUUCUCUAUAGCUUCUAACUAUAAGAAAGUACAUAUUAACAACUUUGGCAUAACCUUUGAUUAGCACAAAGAAUAUUAAUUUUCUUAUUUUCAUAACUUCGGACUAUGCAUGAAUAAUAAUAUUUAUAUAACUUAUGGUUAUAUAAUAUAAAUUUAUAAUAAAAAAAAAAAUAUUUUUUCAUAUAGCUUUUGGCCAUACAAGUUUUAACAAUUAUUAAUUUACUAACUUUUUCUUCAUAGCUUUAGGUUAUGAAUAAUUAAAAUUUAAGUAAUAUUAUAAUAACAUUAAACAAUUGAGAAUUGACAAUUAUGUUAUGAUAUAACCUCUGGUUAUAUCAUAAGAAAGUACAUCAAUGUCCUAAUUAAGUUUUAUACUAGAGUGGGACUCCUAUGAAUGAUUAAAUUGCAUAGAAUUCAAUUUAUUUAUGUCUAUCAAUCUUUGUUUAAUUUCUAUAGAAAAUAUUAAUAGAAGGAACUAUUUCAUAUUUUAGUAUAAUUUAAGCUUGAUUGAUACUACUUCUUAAAAAUGUUAAAAGGAUUAAAUUGAGAUAUGAAUUACAGUACCUAUUGAUUUUUUAUAAUUUAUAAAAAAAAUUAAGAUAGCAAAGGAAAAUGAGGAGAAAGAGAAUUAGUACUAGGGUUUUAAAUGAGUGUGGUGAUGAAGAUGAUGGGAUAAGCCCUUCAUCCAACCUUUGAGGGCUAGCAGAAGUUCUUUAAGCCCUUUUAUGGGUGUUGUUUUUUUUUUUUUGAAAUCUAAAUAGUAAGUUAAUCAUUUAAAGCCAAGUCAUAAGUCUACUAUGAGUGAAUUGAAUUUCCCUCAUUAAACUUUCUUUGUAUUUGAGGUUGAUAUUGUAUGGUUAUGAUAAUUUUGUUUUUUUGACAUGCAAUAGAGUUUGCUCCUCCUUUGUAUUGACAAGCUGCUCAAUUUGCAUUUUUAUUUUAUUUGCCAAUAACAGCUUAAAGCUUGUGGAAAAUUAGGUUGACAACAUAUCAAGUUGGGUUACAUUGGAAUGAGGCUUUUGGAUUUUAUUAUUUAAUAAUCUCGUAUGUGUGCACUAAGAGCCAGUCUGAUGGUUAUACUUUUUAAAUAAAAAAAUAAAAAUUCAAGUAUUGAAAAGGCUAAAACCACUUUUUAAAAUCAUUUUCAAAUACAUUAUUAAGUUUAAUAAUAUCAGUAUAACUCAUAGCAUAUUUAGAUGAAUAUGUGAUAAUUAGAACCCUUUUAAUAUUUGAAAGUAUUUAUUUCCCAUAAAAAUUAGCUAUUUUGUAAAUAAAUUAAUAAUUGUUUUAAAAAUCUAAAAAAAUCAUUUAAGUAAUUUUUAAACUAGUAACUAAGAGAUGCUUCUUUUAAUUAUUUUUAUUAUGUAAUAUAUCACCAAAAAUACUAUCAAGUCACCUUUUGGGUUUAUAUCUAGACCUUAAUUUGACUAAAUGGAAAUAGAUCUUAAUAUUAUUAAAUAUCAAUUUGUUUUUAAUAUUGAAGUGUUAAUUUUUUUUUCUCAGUGAUGUGUUACUAUUUCUAUGAGUUAAAUGAAGAAUCUUUAUCCUUAAAAAAUAAUUUAUUUUAUUUUACUUAUUUUAAAUAAUUUUCAUAAAGAUGUUUCGAAACUAAUAAUUUAAAAAAUAUUAAUUUGAUAUAUUUAGGAACAACCUUAAAUAUUAAAAAAAAAUUAUAAUAUGAUUUUAUCUCAUUCAAAUAAGAUAUUUGAAACUUAAUAAUUUGAUAAAAAGAUAGUACUUUAAUAUAGCUUUUAAUAUCCUAAAGUACCAAAACUGAUUGCAAUAACCAAAACUUUAGGGAAAAGUGAGUUCUAAUUUACUAAUUUAAAAAAAUAUAAACAAAAAUAUUCUAACUUUUAUAAAUCAAUUUUAUCUUCACUCAUCUAAAAAUAUUUUAAAAUAAAUGCAAUUUUUUAUAACUGAAAAAAAAUUAAACUUUUUAUUUUUAUUUUUAUUUUUAUUUUUUUAUUUCUUUUAACCCUGAGAACUGAUUUGAGAUUAAUAAAAUAAGAAAUUUUAAAAAUUAAAAAUACAAUUAAAACUAAAAGAACUUUAAAUCUAAAAAUAUAAAAGUAAAAUAUUAACUUUUACUUAGUUAAAACAAUAUGGUAGAAAAUAUAGAUAUCGAGAAAGUGUUGAAAAUACAAUAGGAGUAAAUAUUUAAUUUUUUAUUUUAAAGUUUUUUUAAUUGUAUUUAAUUUUUAUGUAUUUUAGUUUUAAUUGUAAUUGUAAUUUUAAAAUUUUCUUAUUUUAUUGUUGAUGUCAACUAACAAAAUUUUUAUUCAAUUUUAUUUUAAAAAUAAAAGAAAAUGAGGGAAUUUAUAUAAUACAUGAUAUAAAAUCAUUAUUAAUUAAUAUAACAAAGUAAAAUGAUAUUUCAGAAAAUAAUUAUUUGACUUAUAAAAAAGUAAUGUAUUUUAAAAUAUUUUUAAAUUAAUGAAAAUAAAACCAAUUUAUAAAUAUUGAUUUUUUUUUUCUAUUUUCUUUCAAAUUAGUGAGUCAAAACCUACUUUUUUUCAUCAAAUUAUAUGAAAUUAUAAUUUGAUUUAUUUUUAAGUAGUUUUUUAAAAGUAAAUUGGUUUUCUUUAGGAAAAUAACUAUUGUAAAGUUAAAAGAAAAACAACAUUUUUCAUUGACAGAAAAUAAGAAAAUAAAAAUUCAACCUUUUCAUUAACACAAACUUGUCUUAAAAUAAUUAAUAAUUAGGGAAAAAAAAAAGGCGAGGUCACUAGUUAAUUCUUGUAAAAGCAUUUCUAAAGAAGUAAUAAAAGACUAGAGAUUAAAUACACUUUUAUUUUAACCACUUGCAAACAAGCCCUCAAUUAAUAAACAACAAAUAUGAUAAAAUAUCAUUUGAGAUCAUAUUUAUUUAACAUUAAAAUUUCAUGGCAUGCUUCCUAAAACUGUGUAAUUUGAUUGUAAUUCAUUUUUCCCAUGCGAUUUUAAGCCUCUUCUUUAUCUUUAUAAAAUUUUAUGAGCAAACAUAAAAUAUGAUAGUCACUUAGAAAGCCUUAAGGUUGUUUGAUUCUCAAAAAAUUUGAAUUAAAAGCAAGGGAAGAAAGUAGAAAAAAAAUAAAAGUAAAAGAAAAUAAAAAACUAGAUAUAGAGUCAAUUAAUUAUUUGUUAUGUACUAUUUUAAACCCAUUUAAUUUAUUUUAACGUUUUUAUAUAAAGAUUGAAUAAAAAUAUAUAAGUUUCUAUCUAAUUUUAUUUUUAUUUAUUUAUUUUUAUAUUUUUCUUAAUAAAAUGGAAUAUGAGAAAAACAUUUUUUUUCCUAAAAAUGAAAGACUAAGCAAAUGAAGUCAAAUUUAGCCGAAACUUGAAUUUGAUAAAUCUAGAAACCUUAAAAAUCAACUUCUAAAUCAAAUGAUCAUAAAAAAACCAUCAAUUAAGCCUUAAUCUAAAAUGGUUCCAAAUUUGCCUAAAAAAAACUUAUUAAUUAAGUUCCAAAAAUUAUGAAACUCUCAAGAUCUAAUAUAUAACAAAAACCGUUUCAACAUACCAUGUUGAAAAUCUAUUAAUGUUUUCUAAAUUAUUUUCCUAUAAAAAUGAAUUUGGAAUUACAUGACAUUAGACUCUACAUUCUUGCAACCCAUGCUCAACAUCAUUUUCUUCUUCAAAGGGUGGUCCAGAUUCCUUUCCAUCUUAUCUUUGUGUGGUGGACAUUCAAGGGUCUCUUUUCAACAUUUUGCAACUCAGGUGGGUGAUUUUGUCAAUGUCAUACUGUUCAAAGUCUCUUAAUGUUGUAAAGUAUUGAAGGGGAAGGCCUUUCCAACAUGUUAUGCAUCCAGAAAACAUACAAUCAAUAAUUUUAUUAUUGGUCCAGAAGCCUGUUGUUGAGUUUAUCGUGGAGAUUAUAGGUCCUGCAAAUUAAAUAUGUAUAAGGUUGAUGUAUAUUUUCUUAUUUAUUUGUAAGGCAGGGAUCAAUUGCAACCCAUAAGAUAUGGGUGGGUAGAAAAUGAGUUCAUCUGUACAUUUGGCAUUAGUUGAUAGGCCAUCUUCUUCAUCUACCUCUUUCUUCUAUCCAAGGCCCAGGCUCUUCCUCGUUGCUUUGCAUCUGCUUUCUCUCAUUCUUCUCUGAUCCACUACUCGCUUCCCUUACAAACCAACAGACAUGGCCGGGGCUGUAGCAGGAGGGGGAGCACUUCUCUCGGCUUCUCUCCAAGUUAUAUUUGAUCGGAUGGCUUCUCGCGACGUCCUCACCUUCCUCCGGGGACAGAAACUCAGUGCUACGCUCCUAAGGAAGUUGCAGAUGAAAUUGCUGGAAGUUCAGGCAGUGCUGAAUGAUGCCGAGGCCAAGCAAAUCACGAAUUUAGCUGUUAAAGAUUGGGUCGAUGAGCUAAAAGAUGCUGUGUAUGAUGCGGAGGACCUGGUGGAUGAUAUCACCACUGAAGCUUUACGGCGCAAGAUGGAGUCUGAUUCUCAAACUCAGGUACGGAACAUCAUCUUUGGUGAGGGGAUCGAAUCCAGGGUAGAGGAGAUCACUGACACACUAGAAUAUCUUUCACAAAAAAAAGAUGUUCUCGGGUUGAAAAAAGGCGUUGGAGAAAAUUUGUCAAAAAGAUGGCCGACGACUUCCUUGGUAGAUGAGUCUGGGGUGUACGGUAGGGAUGUUAACAGGGAGGAGAUAGUUAAAUUUUUGUUGUCCCAUAAUACAAGUGGGAAUAAGAUAAGUGUGAUCGCCCUGGUGGGUAUGGGCGGUAUUGGAAAGACCACACUUGCUAAGCUGGUGUAUAAUGAUAGGAGAGUGGUGGAAUUUUUUGACCUUAAAGCAUGGGUUUGUGUUUCAAAUGAAUUUGAUCUUGUCAGGAUAACGAAAACCAUUCUUAAGGCAAUUGAUUCUGGGACUC
RNAcentral lists this long non-coding RNA (18234 nucleotides) under Vitis vinifera (wine grape). RNAcentral's name for it is "long non-coding RNA (VVIN_LNC003891)". The record is from RNAcentral. Lineage: Eukaryota; Viridiplantae; Streptophyta; Magnoliopsida; Vitales; Vitaceae.